GAUGAACGCUGGCGGCGUGCUUAACACAUGCAAGUCGAACGAUGAGGCCCCGCUUGCUGGGUGGAUAGGGGUGACCGGGUGGUUAGCAAGAGAGUAACAUGCCCUUAUCUCUGGGAGAAGACCGGGAAACUGGGUCUUCUACCGGAUAGGAGCGUCCACCGCAGGGUGGGUGUUGGAGAGAAUUAUCGGUGUUGGAUGGACUCGCGGCCUAUCAGCUUGUUGGUGGGGUAGUGGCUCACCAAGGCGACGACGGGUAGCCGGCCUGAGAGGGUGACCGGCCACACUGGGACUGAGAUACGGCCCAGACUCCUACGGGAGGCAGCAGUGGGGAAUAUUGCACAAUGGGCGCAAGCCUGAUGCAGCGACGCCGCGUGCGGGAUGACGGCCUUCGGGUUGUAAACCUCUUUCAGCUGUGAAGAAGCGAAAGUGACGGUACCGGCAGAAGAAGCACCGGCUAACUACGUG
RNAcentral lists this ribosomal RNA (465 nucleotides) under uncultured bacterium. RNAcentral describes it as "partial 16S ribosomal RNA". It matches the Rfam family "Bacterial small subunit ribosomal RNA", at positions 28 to 507 of the family's 1533-position model. The record is from RNAcentral.